This 338-nucleotide long non-coding RNA is filed under the name Homo sapiens (human). Its description in RNAcentral is "non-protein coding LINC02341:9". The record is from RNAcentral. Lineage: Eukaryota; Metazoa; Chordata; Mammalia; Primates; Hominidae.
CAUCCACUGACGUCCUCACCCAUGGCAUAAGCAAGUUUUUCUGAAGGUCUCUCUUGUGCUCCUGCCUCCUGCCAUGAGAACAGCAAGUCCCAGGUAAGAACUAAUCCUUCUGCCUAACUCUCCAUAGGAGAAAACCUGAACUUGACCUACGUUCUGGAACAGAGCCACCCAGAUGACCCACAGACACUGGGAGAGAAAUGAAGACUUAUUGUUUUAGACUUUGAUAUUCUGGAAUUGAUUGCAGCAUCAUUACGGCAAAAGCUGACUAAUACAAUUCCAUUUGUUAUUCUAUUAAGUUCUUUUUGUUAAAAAAGUAUAUAACCAUUGUUGAAAAAUUA